AUGGAAGGGGAGACUAACAGUAACAACAGCAACAACGACGACGACGACGACGACGUUGUUACAGUGGCAGUGGUGGCCACCACCGGUGACGUGUCCGGAGAAAAUACGGGCCCACUCUCACUACUCCGGAAGUUUCCAAACAAUUCAUCCUCCAACAACAGCAAUAAUCUCAACCAACUCGCUCCGGCGACGCGUGAACUCUACGCUAUGACGGCGGAGUCGUUGAAGAGGCUGUUGGUUUCGGAGCUUUCGUUGUGGUCCGGGGACGUGGAAACGAUGGUGGCAUCGGCGAACAGGGCUUUCGAAACCUUGGAUUGGCUUCAACCAGACUGCACUGAAUUCUACGACGCCGUUGGGGAUCUCCUCUCUCGUCGCGCUCAAUUCUCCUCCUUAGAGACCGAGCUCCGAACCCACCAAAACGAAGAAGAAUCCGACGCCGGCAAUUUUCAAGCUCGGUCGAAAGAAGCGCUGGAAGCGCUGGCUAGGUCCGAAGCCGAGUAUAAGAAAGCCGGAGAGCUGGUUAGUUGUCUGAAGAGUCGGGUUUCGGAGAUCCGAGUGGUGCUGAAAAAGCUCGAGGAUGAAUCGAAGAGGGAAGAGGUGAUGCUUGUUGAUCGGAAAAGAGAAUGGGACCAAUGCGUUGAGUCUCACUUGGCUAUUAAGAAGGAAGAGAAAGAGUUGGCUGAGCAAACGGAGGAGAAGCAAAAGAUCAUCAAAAAGAUCAAGCAGCUUCGCGAUGAGGCCGAGGCUGGUGUUCCAGGCUCUAUAAAGGCUUUGUCUUCUCUCUGCUAAAUCAAUGUAAUGUUACUCUUAUCUCUCCGAAUUCUGAUAGUAACUUAUUUGAGCAAUGGCUACUUGGCUAGAGUCUACCAACACUGGUUGGUGGUGAUCGAUGGCAUCUUGGCUUUAGCAGCUACUACCAUGUUUUUGAUUGCUUUUUUGAUAGAGAGAUGGCAUCUUGUGAUAAUAUCUAUUUUCUGCUUUCUUUUUAUAUAACUCAAAUAACUUGGAUAGUUGGAGAGUAUAGAGGCUUCUCUUUCUCAGGCUUGUACUGGGAGAUGUGCAUAAUGACAAUUUUUUGUAAACCUCUCUUUUGUUAAUGCAAUCUCUGACUGUUAGUUCU
RNA transcript from Quercus robur (English oak), 1120 nucleotides. RefSeq lists it as uncharacterized. NCBI's taxonomy places the organism in Eukaryota, Viridiplantae, Streptophyta, Magnoliopsida, Fagales, Fagaceae. The transcript is spliced from 2 exons. The record is from RefSeq and is a predicted model, not a curated record.